ACAGUGAACUUGCUUCACUUAGUUGUUACAGUAAAACAGUUUAAAAAAUACCAAGCUUUAUUUUUGUGACCAUUCAAAAGACCAUCUGCGCUUAGAGGGGUGAUGCUCUGUUUUUCUGGGGCUCUUUUCACAAUUGGUGUUGCUUCGAUGGUUUUGGAUUGCACAAGUGAGGUAUCCGGUGAAAUUGCAGAAGAUCCAUGCCCAGCUUCAGCAGCUCAAAUGGACCUGCACACCUAUUUGUACCAUUGGCAUUCACAAAUUAAACAUAGCUCAACAGGAGGAGAUGGGACACUUCUUUGAAAAGGACGCCAAAUGAUGUAGAAUGCUAACACGAAUCCUCACAUGGCUUUCUUGUUAAUGUACUGUGUUGCAUGUUAUUUUCUAGUUGAGCUGUAAUGAUUGAAUAGUGAUGACAAUCAGAAUGUAAUACUUUCUCAAAGUGUUCUCACAUAGAAAUGCUCUAUUUUUAAACUUACAUCUGUGGCUUUGUUAAUCUGGUGCAUUGCUUUUCUGGGCCCUGCUGAUUUCAGUCUGGAUUUCCAACACUAUCUUCCUUCAAUAACAUGAAAAUGCAGAAUGAUUUAUUGGAUAACAUGUCUUACCCUCUGUUGGCAAAGAGCAAAGGGAUUCCAUGCUUUUAGCAGGUCGAAUGUUGCCUUUCUCUGUUUGAACACACAAGAAAAAGAAUGGGGAUAUGAGAAAAAUAUGUUUGGAAUAACAAAACUGAGGUGAGAAUCAUAAGAUUAUAAGCUAAUAAAGCUAUUCAGGCAUUAUACACUGAAAAAA
Long non-coding RNA from Hemiscyllium ocellatum (epaulette shark), 786 nucleotides. RefSeq lists it as uncharacterized. NCBI's taxonomy places the organism in Eukaryota, Metazoa, Chordata, Chondrichthyes, Orectolobiformes, Hemiscylliidae. The transcript has 3 exons. The record is from RefSeq and is a predicted model, not a curated record.